RNAcentral lists this long non-coding RNA (4485 nucleotides) under Triticum aestivum (bread wheat). RNAcentral describes it as "long non-coding RNA (TAES_LNC026191)". The record is from RNAcentral. Lineage: Eukaryota; Viridiplantae; Streptophyta; Magnoliopsida; Poales; Poaceae.
GCGGCUGCUGCUGCUUCUUGGACCGGAGGCAGAGCCCCUGCUCGAGCUCUUCCUCAUCCUCGGGCGGCUGCAGAGGAGGGGGAGCUGCUCGGGGUGGUUGCUGGCGCGCGUGUGCUGCGCGGGAGGAGGCAAGGUCGAGGCAGAGGAGGAGCGGUGGUGGAGAGCUGAAGUGCUGUGCUGGCUGUCUUGUGUUGUUCCUUGGGCUUGUUCCUUGGGCUUGUUGCUGCUGCGGAUCUGCUGCUGCUACUGGGUGAGCACGCGGGAGUUGCUGUGCGUGGUGCUGAGUUGACUUGCUGCUGGUUUUGCUGAUUGAAGGAGGAAGUCUGCCGAUUGCUGUUGUGUGCAGCUGGUUUGGUCUGUGACUGCUACUGCUGAGUUUGCUGGAGCUGCUUGUUGUUCUGGUGCUGCUGCUAGAGAAGAAGGGUGGCUGUGGUGUUUCUCUGCUGCCUGCACUUGCUGACCGUUGCUGCUUGCUGUUGGUUGUGAGGUAUAGAAAUUGCAAGAGAACAGAGUGCCGCAGAGGAGGUAAUUGGUGAGGCAGUUGGGCAGUGAGUCGAAGCUGCUGUGGAGACCUGAAGUGAAGAGGAACAAUAUGUUAUUUGGUGCAAAUUGCAAGCAGGAGGAGAAUUCAAGGUUUGGAAUGAACCUAAGAAAUAAGAAUUGCUUUGGAUACAAUCAGCCCGGGCAAUGGCAGAAUUGGUAUAGCAGAAGACGUGUUGUUGGUACUGAGAAGUCUUGGCGACGAGAUGGAGAUUGGCUGUGUCCAAAUACAAGAUGUGAGAAUGUAAAUUUUGCAUUCCGAGGUGUCUGUAAUCGCUGCCAGGCAGCACGUUCUACUAAUGUUAGUGCAAAGGGGACAACUAAAAAUGGUGGAAAAUCUCAGACUCUUACUGUCCAAAUGACUACUGAUGAGUUGAAGAAGUGGCUUCGGUUCAAGGAAGGAAUCAUUGAUGAAAGGUCAACAACCAAGAUAUUUGCUACAUCUGCUAACCCCUGUGGUAAUACUUCGAAAUUUGUGAAAGGAAGUUAUUUUGAGGCUGGUACACAGUGGUUAAUAGACUCUGGUGCGUCUAAACAUAUGGCCGGUUCGUAUAAGGAUUUCUGCAGUUAUACUCCUGAUUUUACAGGGCAAAAUGUGACUUGCUGAUGGUUCUGGCCAGAGUAUUAGGGGGGUAGGAACAGUUAAAUGUUGCCCAAAUAUGACUCUAUCAUCUGUUUUACAUGUUCCCUCAUUCCCAAUCAAUUUGCUAUCCAUCAGCUGCAUUACAAGAGAACUUAAUUGUGCUGUAAUCUUCUUCCCAACAUGGUGUUUAUUUCUGGAACUUGGGACUUGGAAAAUCCUUGGGACAGGAAUUAUGCGAGGUGGUCUAUACUACUUGGAUGAUGAUAUGGCACCUAUGGUUGCUGCUGUGCUGUCUCAGUCACCAUUGGAAGAAUUUCUUCUUCAUCAUCGCAGGCUGGGACACAUGUCCUUUGACACCCUGGGUCAGUUAUAUCCUAAUCUCUAUAAUAAAAUUUGCAAUGAAAGCCUAGUAUGUGAUGCCUGUCAGUAUGGGAAGCUAACCCGUAGUAUAUAUACUCCAUCCGAUCACAGAAGUACAGUGCCAUUUCAAACUAUCCACUCAGGUGUGUGGGGUCCUAGUGGGGUGUGGUCACUGUAUGGAUACAAAUCUUUUGUUACAUUUAUUGACUGUUGCACUAGGACCACUUGGGUUUAUGUACUGAGAAAUAAAAGUGACGUGUUUGAAUGUUUUAAGGAUUUCCACAACUUAAUCAAAAAUCAAUAUGAUGCACGAGUGAAAAUAUUUCGAACUGACAAUGGUACAGAAUAUGUAAAUAACCAAUUUGAUGAGUAUUUGUCAAGCUUUGGAAUUAUCCAUCAAACUAGUUGCCCAGGUACUUCCCAGCAGAAUGGGUUGGCUGAAAGGAAAAACAGACAUCUCUUAGAAAUCACCCGGUGUAUCAUGUUAGCUAUGAAUGUUCCUAAAUAUUUGUGGGCUGAAGCUGUGAUGACAGCGGCUUAUUUGAUGAAUAGAAUGCCAUCUCGGGUGCUCAAUAACAAGACACCGAUUGAGUGUCUAACUGGUGAAACUACAUAUGUUGUGCCACCAAAGGUAUUUCGAUGUGUAUGUUUUGUGAGGGAUCAUAAACCAUCGGUUGGCAAGCUUGACCCUAGAGCAGUGAAAUGUGUAUUUGUGGGAUACUCUGGAAAACAAAAGGGUUAUAAAUGUUGGUGCCCAUCAGAAAAACGGAUGUUUGUGAGCAUGGAUGUAGUGUUCAGGGAACAUGAACCAUAUUAUGGGGAACCGGUAGAUUUAACUGAUGUCUUCCCUGAUGAUGUUACAGGCCUGGACAACGAGACAGGGGGAGAUGACAGCAGAGAAGGCAAUGAUGUAGCACCAGAGAAGAUGAUAGUUGGGGUUAUACCUAUUGAAGAUGUGCAAGACUAUGCAGGGCAAGAAAAUGAACAGAGAGAACAACAAAGUGACUCUAAUGGAGCAUUACAAUGGCCAAAACCGAAUGAGGAACGAGAAGUUCAAGUGUUUACACGGAGGCAUAGAAUUGAGAAGGAGCAAGUGCAGAGACAAGAACCUAACCCACCGGAGUGUGGUACAGAAACUCAAGAGCUUACUGAUACAUAUGAUUUAGAUGAUGGUACGCUUCCUCAUUCUCUUUCACAUGAGGACUUAGAUGCUCCUAUUGCUCUUAGGAAGCAACCCCGCACUACUGCUGGGAAAUUACCAUCAAAGCUAUCUCCAUAUGAUGUCUCAAAUUAUGUGUCAUAUGCAUCCUUGGGUUCCAAGUAUAAGUCAUUCGUUGCAGCUUUAGAUUCUAUAGAUCCUAUACCACAUGACUGGCAAGUAGCAAUAAAGGACCCAAGAUGGAGAACAACAAUGUUUGAAGAGAUGGAAGCACUUGACAAAAACAAUACUUGGAUCCUCACCACUCUUCCUGCAGGGAAAAAGACUGUGGGUUGUAAAUGGGUAUUCACUGUAAAACAGACUCCAGAAGGUAAAGUGGAGAGGUACAAGGCCAGGUUAGUAGCAAAGGGGUAUAGCCAAACCUAUGGAGUAGAUUAUGAUGAAACUUUUGCCCCAGUAGCGAAAAUGAACACCGUCAGAACAAUAAUCUCAAUUGCAGCAAACCGUAAUUGGAAGUUGUUUCAAAUGGAUGUUAAAAAUGCAUUUCUCCAUGGAGACUUGCAGGAAGAGGUGUAUAUGGAGAUUCCUCUAGGAUUCAAUAGCCGUGAGACUGAAGGCAAGGUUUGUAAACUAAAAAAAUCCCUCUAUGGUCUGAAACAAUCACCUCGAGCAUGGUUUGAAAGGUUUAGAAAAGGAAUUUGCUCCUUGGGGUAUCGACAAAGCAAUGCUGAUCACACUCUCUUCUUUAAACAUCAUCAUGAUAAGAUUACUAUACUGACUGUAUAUGUUGAUCAUAUAGUAAUCACAGGGGAUGAUGUUGAGGAGAUAUCAUACUUGAAGAAGAUGAUGGCUAAAAUAUUUGAAGUUAAAGACUUGGGCUAUCUUCAUUAUUUUCUGGGGAUUGAAGUUGCUUAUGGGACACAAGGUAUUUACCUUUCUCAAAGGAAGUAUGUACUUGAUCUUCUUAAUGAAACAUGUAUGUUAGGAUGCAAACCAGCGGCUACACCUAUUGAGCAAAAUCAUCGUACCUUGGCAGACUCAGGUGACCCUGUAGAGAAAUACCAAUAUCAGAGGUUAGUUGGCCGUUUAAUCUAUUUAUCGCACACAAGGCCAGAUAUUGCAUAUGCAGUUAGUGUUGUAAGCCGUUAUAUGCAUGAUCCUCGUUCAGGCCAUCUAGAGGUGGUAAAUCGAAUUUUGAGAUAUCUAAAAGGUUGUCCAGGGAAGGGAAUCCUAUUUUCUAAUCAUGGACAUUUGAAGGUAGAGGGAUAUACUGAUGCAGAUUGGGCUGGAUGUCUAGAUGAUAGACGAUCUACAUCAGGUUAUUGUGUGUUUGUUGGCGAUAAUCUAGUUUGCUGGAGAAGUAAAAAGCAAAGUGUGGUGGCACGAUCUACUGCUGAGGCAGAAUUCAGGUCUAUGGCUUCUGGUUUAUUCGAUGGAGGACCACUACAACUCUAUUGUGAUAACCAAGCUGCAAUCAAUAUAGUGCAUAAUCCAGUUCAGCAUGAUAGAACUAAGCAUGUUGAAAUUGAUAGACAUUUCAUUAGAGAGAAGUUAGAUGAGGGGAGCCUUCGUGUUACUUUUGUUAGAUCUGAUAGUCAAUUGGCAGAUGUACUUACAAAAGGUGUUAGUGUUGUGUCUUUUGUAAACUUAUGUAGCAAGAUGGGACUCAUGGAUAUAUUCGCCCCAUCUUGAGGGGGAGUGUUGGAGGUCCUAGCUUAGGAAAAUAGAACUGUGUAGGGGCUAAUAUGUAAUUUGUACAUUGUAUAUAUAGAGGUGAAGGAAGAGCACCUGAGGUGAUUGAAGCUUCAGGAAAUUUCCCCACUGUGAGUCCUCCAACCAACAC